RNAcentral lists this transfer RNA (72 nucleotides) under Bos taurus (domestic cattle). It matches the Rfam family "tRNA". From Rfam's summary of the family: Transfer RNA (tRNA) molecules are approximately 80 nucleotides in length. Their secondary structure includes four short double-helical elements and three loops (D, anti-codon, and T loops). RNAcentral also lists the same sequence under 5 other names. Lineage: Eukaryota; Metazoa; Chordata; Mammalia; Artiodactyla; Bovidae. The record is from Rfam by way of RNAcentral.
ACCCAACUGGCUCAGACGGUAAAGAAUCUGCCUGCAAUGCAGGACACCUGGGUUCGAUCCCUGGGUUGGGAA